UAAAUAAAUAAUAAAAAUAUAAACCCCUCCAGAGACACCCAUUGUUAUGGCAUCUCAGAACUCUGAGAACAAAGAGAAGAUUCUAGAGCAUUCCAGGUGUGGAAGUCACGAUCAGCAAUGAUCUUGGCAGGCUAAGAACGAGCCUGAGCAAGCGUCUGAGUAAAGUCCUUUCUUAUCUACAAUUCCAGCUCCACUAGACAAGGAGGAUGAAGGGAAAUUAAAGACACCUUCAGAGAACCAGAGUCCAGAGGAGCAAUUUACAAUCUGCUUCCUGAAAUCAGCUGAAAACUCCUGACAGGAGUUCAGUUCGGCCACUCCUAAAUCUGGUUAUAUAAAUUAUUCAAUAUAUCCUACUCCCUCCAUUCACCACCUUUCAGAUAAGACAUGGAACCCAAAGAAUUCAAGGAUGGUGUGCCCAUGUUCACACAAUUCCUAAGCGGCAAGAUGGGAAUUUGAAUAGAACCCGCCUGACAAAAGUCUGAAUUAACGCUCUUCUCCAAAAUGCCUAAAUGGAUGUGGUGUAGACAUGUGCAGAGACAGGAUGUUAGAAUAAAGCCUAGAAGAACAGAGAGAAAACAAGAAUAGAAGAAAGUGAAAGGCUGUCCUCCAUGGGUUCUGUCACUUCCCUGUGCGAUCAGCCCUCCGCCAGUCAACUCGGGUCAGCCAUGCACAGCCCAUCCCCAACCCCACAGCUCUUCCCCAACCUCUGGGAACCUCUGCCCCCCAACUGUGAGCACAGGGGAGGGAGUCCAGGUGGGUACCCACCUUUGACUCUGGGCUUCCCUCCCGCAGGAGACCCAACCAGCUCUCACUGGAAUCCUGAGAGCUCGUGGGGCCAACAGCCAUCCUGUGGCCCCCUGGGGGCUGAGGAAGGGCCACCAUCACGAAGGCAGAGCUGGAAAUGAAGAUGUGCGUGACCCUCACCUGUGUGGAACCAGGGGUAGGCUGGACUCACAGUUGGAGAGCUCUUAAAUUCACGCCCCUUUCCCUCUCCAACCAGACUGAGUGGGCAACGUCUUAGCAACUAAAAAACCAUUACAACUGCUCAGCACACAGACAAGGAAAAUGCCCGUAUGAUGGAAUCAGAAGCAGUGAAAGCUGAAUUUAGGUUUUUGGUCCAUCUGCACUCUUACAGAGGAGCAGAGGCCUAAAGCUUUCUGAGAGUCUUCCAGAAAACUGAGCAGAGGUGAGUGCAGCCUCAGCCUGUGGUGCUACAUCAUCCCAUCUCUGAAUAAAAGGAACCCUUUCCCGUGGCUCCUGUCUCCUUCUGAUACAACUCGGUCCGCCUUUCGAGCUUCCUUGUGUUCCUGUACAAAACAUGCCCCUGCCUCAUCUCGUGAACCAGUUUCCCCCCACCUGGAAUCAGCAGGGUUUCCAAGGAUCCGUGCCGACUGUCCUGGGGCAGGAUUGCCAGAUCAAGUUCUGUUCCGUGCCUCUGCUCACAGCUGCCUGUUUGGUAUAAUGUGAGGACUUUUCCAGAGAACCAGAAGACAGGUACUUCUUCAGGUAAAGAACAGGAAUUCAUAAGAAUGUUGCCAAUUCAAAUGUUGUAUCACAGGACUUAACGUUUGGUCUCAUACUUCUA
Molecule: long non-coding RNA, 1585 nt
Organism: Acinonyx jubatus (cheetah)
Lineage: Eukaryota; Metazoa; Chordata; Mammalia; Carnivora; Felidae
Exons: 4
Source: RefSeq, a predicted model, not a curated record